Long non-coding RNA from Carassius gibelio (silver crucian carp), 1704 nucleotides. RefSeq lists it as uncharacterized. The record is from RefSeq and is a predicted model, not a curated record. NCBI's taxonomy places the organism in Eukaryota, Metazoa, Chordata, Actinopteri, Cypriniformes, Cyprinidae. The transcript is spliced from 4 exons.
CGGGACGGUGUCGCGGUAACACCGGUCCACUUCCGGGUUGCGCCCGAUGUCGCAAUAACAACGCUAAUGGCAGAUUGACAUCUGGUGUGGGGAGUUUGAUGUGGCGAUCUGUGAGAGGAUUAUGGAGGCGGAGUAACCACAUAAAAAGAGAAGUGCAGAGACCAUGAGGAGGGUUGUGGAUUCUUUUUUGGUCGUUCGUUCUCCCGGCUAUUCUUCCUGGUUGGCUUGCCCCCGUGUGUGGUUCUUCUCUUUGGAUAUGUUCCCCUAGGAGAGGUGAAUUCCUGGGACGUUUGGGCUGGCGUGUGGAGGUGUUUGAGGACUAUUGUGGGGUUUCGGCUAUCUGGCUGUGCAACAGAUAUAUCCGCGAUCGAGUGGAGAUAUUCAGGACAGAAAGAGUGUGAGUUCUGGAAAGCAAGUGAAGACCAGACCGCGCCAUCGCUAUCGGAGGGAAGUUAAGAGACCUGAUCUGGGAUUUCGAUCAAUUGUAUACAUCUGGACUGGGACUGAUAACGUUGUGAAGUGGACGGAGUCAUCGUUGGGUGAGUGCUGGCUCUAUUUGCACUAAGAGUGGGUGUGCCGUGUCUGAAGUGGUGUGUUUGCACAAUAAAUCGUUUGAAGUGAAGUUACAGAGUGUGGGGAAGAUAUAUAGAGUUAAUGCCGGACGCUCACCACCCCGAGAGCCCACCACCGUCACCGUAAUCCACACCCAGGCACUCAACUGAAGCAUCUCCCAGCCGUAAGCCCCAUUGCUUAUUCAAGAACACAUACAUGCUGUUGAUUACUUACCCCGCUGUGUAGAUCGCAGGAUCCUCUGGGCCGAACGCCGCAUGUGAUGUCCCUAUGAAAGGAGAUCGCAGGAUCCUCUGGGCCGAAUGCCGCAUGUGAUGUCCCUAUGAAAAGAGGUGGACACAAGAAUUAUUCCUUUCCCGGUCACAACCGAAGCCUCUCCCAGCCGUAAGCCCCACUACUUAUUCAAGAACGCAUACUUGCUGUUGAUUACCUACUCUGCUGUGCAGAUCGCAGGAUCCUCUGGGCCGAAUGCUGCAUGUGAUGUCCCUGUAGAAAGAGGUGGACACAAGAAUUAUUCCUUUCCCGGUCACAACCGAAGCCUCUCCCAGCCGUAAGCCCCACUACUUAUUCAAGAACGCAUACUUGCUGUUGAUUACCUACUCUGCUGUGCAGAUCGCAGGAUCCUCUGGGCCGAAUGCUGCAUGUGAUGUCCCUGUAGAAAGAGGUGGACACACGAAUUAUUCCUUUCCCGGUCUUAACCGAAGCCUCUCCCAGCCGUAAGCCCCACUACUUAUUCAAGAACGCAUACUUGCUGUUGAUUACCUACUCUGCUGUGCAGAUCGCAAGAUCCUCUGGGCCGAAUGCUGUAUGUGAUGCCCCUGUAGAAAGAGACCACAGGAUUCUCUGGGCCGAAUGCUGCAUGUGAUGUCCCUGUAGAAGGAGGUGGACACGAGAAUUAUUCCUUUUCCCGGUCUCGACCGAAACAUCCACGAGCUCUACUUACCCGGAUACCCCCCCUCACUCCGGGACGGGUGACAGACUACCCUGGCUCUUGCUGGCCCCGUACAGGCACAAACUGCCGACGACUCCACGCCUUCCCGGCGUCCGAGGUCUGGCUCCCUUCUGGUCGGGAGACACGGAAGGAACACUGAACUUUUAAAUUGCUUUUAAUCAAAUAAAACCUUGUUCAUUUUU